ACUCAAAGGAAUAGACGGGGCUCCGCACAAGCAGUGGAUCAUGUGGUUUAAUUUGAUGCUACGCGAAGAACCUUACCCACCCUUGACAUCCCGAUCGUAGGACUAGGAGACUAGACCGUCAGUUCGGCUGGAUCGGUGACAGGUGCUGCAUGGCCGUCGUCAGCUCGUGUCGUGAGAUGUUGGGUUAAGUCCCGCAACGAGCGCAACCCUUGUCGUGUGUUGAAUUUUUCACGCGAGACCGCCCGGGCCAACCGGGAGGAAGGUGGGGAUGACGUCAGGUCAGCAUGGCCCUUACGGGUGGGGCUACACACGUGAUACAAUGGCCGGAACAACGGGUCGCGAACCCGCGAGGGGGAGCUAAUCCCAUCAAAUCCGGUCCCAGUUCGGAUUGUAGGCUGAAACUCGCCUGCAUGAAGUUGGAAUUGCUAGUAAACGUAGGUCAGCACACUACGUUGAAUACGUUCCCGGAGCUUGUACACACCGCCCGU
This 488-nucleotide ribosomal RNA is filed under the name uncultured bacterium. RNAcentral describes it as "partial 16S ribosomal RNA". It matches the Rfam family "Bacterial small subunit ribosomal RNA", at positions 899 to 1397 of the family's 1533-position model. The record is from RNAcentral.